This 24-nucleotide non-coding RNA is filed under the name Arabidopsis thaliana (thale cress). Lineage: Eukaryota; Viridiplantae; Streptophyta; Magnoliopsida; Brassicales; Brassicaceae. The record is from RNAcentral.
AGGAGUAUGAGAGAGCCGGUGCGG